Molecule: non-coding RNA, 170 nt
Organism: Brassica rapa (field mustard)
Lineage: Eukaryota; Viridiplantae; Streptophyta; Magnoliopsida; Brassicales; Brassicaceae
Source: Rfam
GAGAGAAGAACAUAUAAGGGCAGCCAAGGAGACUGCCUAAUAUCUUUAUAAGCAAGAUCAUUAGUUGAGAUAACCUAUAUAAAUUCAUCUUUCAAACAUGAUACCAUGACCAUCUUAAUUCUCAAAGAAGUAGGCAAGUCAUCCUUGGCUACCAAAUAUGAUUCUCCUAU